This 429-nucleotide ribosomal RNA is filed under the name Bacillota bacterium. RNAcentral describes it as "Firmicutes bacterium partial 16S ribosomal RNA". It matches the Rfam family "Bacterial small subunit ribosomal RNA", at positions 355 to 776 of the family's 1533-position model. Lineage: Bacteria; Bacillati; Bacillota. The record is from RNAcentral.
UAGGGAAUCUUCGGCAAUGGACGGAAGUCUGACCGAGCAACGCCGCGUGAGUGAAGAAGGUUUUCGGAUCGUAAAGCUCUGUUGUUAGAGAAGAACGUUGGUAGGAGUGGAAAAUCUACCAAGUGACGGUAACUAACCAGAAAGGGACGGCUAACUACGUGCCAGCAGCCGCGGUAAUACGUAGGUCCCGAGCGUUGUCCGGAUUUAUUGGGCGUAAAUCGAGCGCAGGCGGUUCUUUAAGUCUGAAGUUAAAGGCAGUGGCUUAACCAUUGUACGCUUUGGAAACUGUAGGACUUGAGUGCAGAAGGGGAGAGUGGAAUUCCAUGUGUAGCGGUGAAAUGCGUAGAUAUAUGGAGGAACACCGGUGGCGAAAGCGGCUCUCUGGUCUGUAACUGACGCUGAGGCUCGAAAGCGUGGGGAGCAAACAGG